RNAcentral lists this ribosomal RNA (497 nucleotides) under uncultured bacterium. RNAcentral describes it as "partial 16S ribosomal RNA". It matches the Rfam family "Bacterial small subunit ribosomal RNA", at positions 28 to 507 of the family's 1533-position model. The record is from RNAcentral.
GACGAACGCUGGCGGCGUGCCUAAUACAUGCAAGUUGAGCGCUGAAGGUUGGUACUUGUACCAACUGGAUGAGCAGCGAACGGGUGAGUAACGCGUGGGGAAUCUGCCUUUGAGCGGGGGACAACAUUUGGAAACGAAUGCUAAUACCGCAUAAAAACUUUAAACACAAGUUUUAAGUUUGAAAGAUGCAAUUGCAUCACUCAAAGAUGAUCCCGCGUUGUAUUAGCUAGUUGGUGAGGUAAAGGCUCACCAAGGCGAGGAUACAUAGCCGACCUGAGAGGGUGAUCGGCCACAUUGGGAGUGAGACAAGGCCCAAAGGGCUACGGGAGGCAGCAGUAGGGAAUCGUCGGCAAUGGACGAAAGUCUGAACGAGCAACGCCGCGUGAGUGAAGAAGGUUUUCGGAUCGUAAAACUCUGUUGGUAGAGAAGAAAGUUGGUGAGAGUGGAAAGCGCAUAAAGUGACGGUAACUACCCAGAAAGGGACGGCUAACUACGUG